CCGGAGACAGUGCUGCAUGGCUGUCGUCAGCUCGUGUCGUGAGAUGUUCGGGUUAAGUCCCGCAACGAGCGCAACCCUCGCCUUUAGUUGCCAGCAUUCAGUUGGGCACUCUAGAGGGACUGCCGGUGUCAAACCGGAGGAAGGUGGGGAUGACGUCAAGUCCUCAUGGCCUUUAUGUCCAGGGCUACACACGUACUACAAUGGCCGGUACAAAGGGUUGCCAACCCGCGAGGGGGAGCUAAUCCCAUAAAGCCAGUCGUAGUCCGGAUCGUAGUCUGCAACUCGACUACGUGAAGUCGGAAUCGCUAGUAAUCGUGGAUCAGAAUGUCACGGUGAAUACGUUCCCGGGUCUU
RNAcentral lists this ribosomal RNA (353 nucleotides) under uncultured Steroidobacter sp. RNAcentral describes it as "bacterial SSU rRNA". It matches the Rfam family "Bacterial small subunit ribosomal RNA", at positions 1029 to 1382 of the family's 1533-position model. Lineage: Bacteria; Pseudomonadati; Pseudomonadota; Gammaproteobacteria; Steroidobacterales; Steroidobacteraceae. The record is from RNAcentral.